UGCGUCGUUAGUUACCUCAAUAAAAGCCUACUUUAAUAUACAGAAUAAAUGUUCUGCUCUCUUCAUGCGUGAAAGGAUGUCAUAACAGGCAACCGUCUUCUAUCUCUUUCCUGGGGUUGUGUGCAUGCUGUAGGUGCACUUUAGGACCCUGCUCCAGCUACUAUCAUAAAGCACUAUAGACUAGUCUUUGUUGAAGGCUGAAGUGCUACAAAGUACCCAACAAAGAACAAAAUGCAAGGGCGCCCUGACCUGCAAUGCAUCUGAGAAACCUUGCCAUAGGGGGGUUUCAAAAGACUGGAGGAUUGUAUGGGCAUCACAUCACAGCAUGCUUAAAAUGUGUAAAUUCACCUAGGGCAUAUGGCUCUAUCAAAUAUGGAAAGGACUAUCAAAUAGAUGGACUACAAGGUUUUUUUAUUUAUAACUUUUUUAUGGAAUAUAUAGGAGUUGAGGGCUAGGACAUGCUUGAGUCAGGCAUUGAAAUGGGGACAGGAUUGAAAGGGUCUCUCUAUAGUGGAAUGACUGCUUCAUCAAUAGGUAAUAUCCCGACUGGUUUCUCAAUAGGUAAUAUCCCGACUGGUUUCUCAAUAGGUAAUAUCCCGACUGGUUUCUCAAUAGGUAAUGUCCCAACCGGUGUCUCAAUGGGCAAUGUCCCAACUGGUUUCUCAAUAGGUAAUAUCCCGACUGGUUUCUCAAUAGGUAAUGUCCCAACUGGUCUCUCAAUAGGUAAUAUCCCGACUGGUUUCUCAAUAGGUAAUGUCCCAACUGGUUUCUCAGCAAGUAAUAUCCUGUGUGGCUCAGUUGGUAGAGCAUGGUGUUUGCAACGCCAGGGUUGUGGGUUCGAUUCCCACGGGGGACCAGUACAGAGAAAAAAUGAAUGAAAUGUAUGCAUUCACUACUGUAAGUUGCUCUGGAUAAGAGUGUCUGCUAAAUGACUAAAAUAUAAAUGUAUGGUUUCUCAAUAGGCAAUGUCCCGACUGGUUUCUCAAUAGGUAAUGUCCUGACUGGUUUCUCAAUAGGUAAUAUCCCGACUGGUUUCUCAAUAGGUAAUAUCCCGACUUGUUUCUCAAUAGGUAAUGUCCCAACUGGUUUCUCAAUAGGUAAUGUCCCAACUGGUUUCUCAAUAGGUAAUGUCCUGACUGGUUUCUCAAUAGGUAAUAUCCCGACUGGUUUCUCAAUAGGUAAUGUCCCAACUGGUUUCUCAAUAGGUAAUGUCCUGACUGGUUUCUCAAUAGGUAAUAUCCCAACUAGUUUCUCAUGGGUGAGUACACCAGUGGGGGUGCAUUCAACACUCUGCAACUCUGUUA
This 1304-nucleotide long non-coding RNA is filed under the name Salmo salar (Atlantic salmon). Its description in RNAcentral is "lncRNA (ENSSSAG00000118359.1)". The stretch from base 885 to 938 matches the Rfam family "UnaL2 LINE 3' element". Lineage: Eukaryota; Metazoa; Chordata; Actinopteri; Salmoniformes; Salmonidae. The record is from RNAcentral.